Molecule: ribosomal RNA, 305 nt
Filed under: uncultured bacterium
Lineage: Bacteria
Description: bacterial SSU rRNA
Rfam family: Bacterial small subunit ribosomal RNA
Source: RNAcentral
UUGCCUACGGGAGGCAGCAGUGGGGAAUAUUGCACAAUGGGGGAAACCCUGAUGCAGCAACGCCGCGUGAGUGAAGAAGUCAUUCGUGAUGUAAAGCUCUAUCAGCAGGGAAGAAAAUGACGGUACCUGAGUAAGAAGCCCCGGCUAACUACGUGCCAGCAGCCGCGGUAAUACGUAGGUGGCAAGCGUUAUCCGGAUUUAUUGGGUGUAAAGGGCGUGUAGGCGGGAAUGCAAGUCAGAUGUGAAAACUAUGGGCUCAACCCAUAGCCUGCAUUUGAAACUGUAUUUCUUGAGUGCUGGAGAGG